RNAcentral lists this ribosomal RNA (438 nucleotides) under uncultured bacterium. RNAcentral describes it as "bacterial SSU rRNA". It matches the Rfam family "Bacterial small subunit ribosomal RNA", at positions 28 to 505 of the family's 1533-position model. The record is from RNAcentral.
GAUGAACGCUGGCGGCGUGGAUAAGGCAUGCAAGUCGAACGACCCGCAUUUAUGUGGGGAGUGGCAAACGGGGUAGUAACAGGUAGGAACGUACCUAGAUCUCGGGGAUAACGCAGAGAAAUCUGUGCUAAUACCCGAUAGUCUCGCAAGAGUAAAGCUUUCGCGGAUCUAGAUCGGCCUGCUUCGUAUCAGCUAGUUGGUAAGGUAAUGGCUUACCAAGGCUAUGACGCGUAGGGGAGGUGAGAGCCUGACCCCCACCAUUGGCACUGCGACACGGGCCAAACACCUACGGGUGGCUGCAGUCGAGAAUCUUCCGCAAUGGACGAAAGUCUGACGGAGCGACGCCGCGUGGUUGAUGAAGCACUUCGGUGUGUAAAGACCUUUUAUACGUGAAGAAAUUUUUGACAUUAGCGUAUGAAUAAGGGGCUCCUAAUCUCG